UAUUACCACUACCUGGAAAUUCAGAACAUCUCCGUGCUGCAUCAUGAAUGUAUUGGUGUUUCUGCUAACGCUUGUCACUGGUACGGAGACACAAAUUACGGUCAUUCAGUAUCCCAGAACCGUAGUCACAUCGCCUGGGGCUUCUCUUAAUGUGACCUGUGAAGUUUUGGGCUACAGUAACCCUGAUACAUUUUGGUACCGCCAGUUUAGUGGAGAAGAACCCAAGUCUAUGUUUGUAUCAGCUGGUACAGGUGUGGUGGACCCUCCUAGUUUGGGACAUUUCAGUGCCCUCAGACCCAACAGCUCUCAUUUCUUUCUGGAAGGAACCAGCCUUGAAGUCCAGGACUCAGGAACGUACUUCUGUGCUGGUAGUACCCACAGCGGAGCAAGUGGCUGAGGCUGCCGUACAAAAACUGUGAGGGCAGCAUCGUGCAAGUAGGCUGAGAUGGAGGCUUGUUGGAAAGUAAUUAAUAGU
Molecule: non-coding RNA, 475 nt
Organism: Protopterus annectens (West African lungfish)
Lineage: Eukaryota; Metazoa; Chordata; Ceratodontiformes; Protopteridae
Source: the annotation of a RefSeq genome assembly